Marmota monax (woodchuck) is the source of this 1242-nucleotide long non-coding RNA. RefSeq lists it as uncharacterized. The record is from RefSeq and is a predicted model, not a curated record. The transcript is spliced from 3 exons. Lineage: Eukaryota; Metazoa; Chordata; Mammalia; Rodentia; Sciuridae.
CGGCGCGGCGCAGGUGUGACGUCACGGGCUGCGCCAGGCGGGAGGCUCGGUGAAAGUGGGCCUUGCUGGCCUCUGAGUAGUCGGCCAGUUACCUCUGUGCCCUAGUGCUUGUGGCGCGUUCUCUUGUUACACCUGAAUAAAGUCCUUAUCCCUUCGCCCUACGGGCACCUUCAGCUCCCGCCCCCACGUCCCGCUGCACUGUGGACGGGACGCAGCCCCGUUCUUGGAGCUCUACGGCAACCGGGCUGAAACGUACUUUGAAGCAGCCAGAAGUGGGGGCUGAUGGGUCUACCAGGAACAGAAGAAGAGACCCAAGAGCCUCUGGUGGAAGGGAGGGAAAUUGGAGCAGUUGAUUCCGAAAGAGCCCAAGAGUGAGGCCAGCAUGUGAGCAUCUCCAAUUUACAGGAUGAAACCAGACUGGAGGGAAUUAGGAAGGUGACAGCUUACAGGCAACCAGUGUGGCAGGCCACCAGUCUGGCAGAGUUGCUUGAGACUCCCAGACCAGCCCCACCACACUACACAUGCAUGGCAACUUCACACUUCUGGACCAAAUAUCCCAUUGAGGACUCCAAUGACAUCUUAGAUUUGUAUGGCUGAAAGCAAGUUUGUGCUUCUUCCACAGUUAAGAGAUUGCCUCAUCUUGGCUCUGGAUGGAAGGCUGCACCUGCUGUUUAUUUGGGGAAUUUUUGUCUUCUGUGAGGUGGAAAAUCAAUUCCUUGCAUGACUGUUAGGUUCUCAAGAGAACUGUUUCUCAGCCUCAAGGCUUAGCAGUCACACUCUGUCACCCCCAACCCACAAUUUACAAUUCUCUGAGCACCCCAGAGGUGGAAAGGCCAUUUUAAGUAAGACUGUAAUGCCCUGUUCAACCUGAACUACUCCCUUGGAGAAUGUACAUGUUACAGAACCAGAAUCUUGGAAUGUACCUGAUCCCCUGUUGCCUAGGCCCCUGGGAUUGAAUUAACUCAUGUCUGUGGAUCACGCCCCCUUCUCACCUGUAAAUUGAAGAUGCUCACAUGCGGCUCAGAGAGCUCCUCUGAACUGUUGGGAAUACAUAUGCAAAUGGCUUGGUGGAUGUGGAUCUGUACUCAGAGACAUUGCUGUUAUUGUUGAUAUUAUUCAUAAAGGUGACUGAAAACCUCCACAAAUCUCCUGGCUGACUCCAUAUUCUAGAAAGAUCCUACUAACUUCAGCUAAUGUUGAGUUACAAGAACAUACAGAUAAAACACUGAUGUAUUUUUGUCA